RNAcentral lists this ribosomal RNA (253 nucleotides) under uncultured bacterium. Its description in RNAcentral is "partial 16S ribosomal RNA". It matches the Rfam family "Bacterial small subunit ribosomal RNA", at positions 524 to 776 of the family's 1533-position model. The record is from RNAcentral.
UACGUAGGGGGCAAGCGUUGUCCGGAUUUAUUGGGCGUAAAGAGCGUGUAGGCGGCCAGGUAGGUCCGUUGUGAAAACUGGAGGCUUAACCUCCAGCUGUCGAUGGAAACCAUCUGGCUAGAGUCCGGAAGAGGAGAGUGGAAUUCCUGGUGUAGCGGUGAAAUGCGCAGAUAUCAGGAAGAACACCCGUGGCGAAGGCGGCUCUCUGGGCCGGUACUGACGCUGAGGAGCGAAAGCGUGGGGAGCAAACAGG